AGUUCGCGGGGGGCUCCCAGCAGCGCUAGAGUCCCUGGAGCUGAUCAUUGUUGUUCUUGGGCCGCCCCUGAUUUUUCAUCCCUUUUGUUUCCUCUUCCCAGCUACAUCCGCUACUCCCAGAUCUGUGCCAAGGCUGUCAGGGCAGCGUUGAAGCCACAAUACAAAGCUGAGGCAGAGAGAGUUGCUGUGGCCACUGUAAAAAUAGUAAAACCUAAAAAGGAGUAAGAUGAUUGGCCUGUAUGGACAAAAUAUCAAGUGAAGACUAGGUCAUGGGUCUGCAGGUGUGCAAUAGUCUCUUCAUGUUAGCUGUAAAAUCUGUCUGGAUGUGUAAAUCAACAUGCUAAUAAACAGCUUCUGGUUCACCAUGG
Molecule: non-coding RNA, 368 nt
Organism: Pelodiscus sinensis (Chinese soft-shelled turtle)
Lineage: Eukaryota; Metazoa; Chordata; Testudines; Trionychidae
Source: RefSeq, a predicted model, not a curated record